GUGCCAGCAGCCGCGGUAAUACGGAGGGUGCAAGCGUUGUCCGGAAUCACUGGGCGUAAAGGGUGCGCAGGCGGGGCAGCAAGUCGGAGGUGAAAGCCCGUGGCUCAACCACGGAAGUGCCUUCGAAACUGUUGCUCUUGAGUCCCGGAGAGGUUGCCGGAAUUCGUGGUGUAGCGGUGAAAUGCGUAGAUAUGUCGUAGAAUACCGAUUGCGAAGGCAGCCAACCGGACUGAAAUUGACGCUGAGGCACGAACGCGUGGGGAGCGAACAGGAUUAGAAACCCGGUGUAGUCC
Molecule: ribosomal RNA, 293 nt
Filed under: uncultured bacterium
Lineage: Bacteria
Description: partial 16S ribosomal RNA
Rfam family: Bacterial small subunit ribosomal RNA
Source: RNAcentral